Homo sapiens (human) is the source of this 1197-nucleotide long non-coding RNA. The record is from Ensembl. Lineage: Eukaryota; Metazoa; Chordata; Mammalia; Primates; Hominidae.
GGUAGAUCCGUACCUGGGCCUUGACUCCACUGUGUGACUUUUGGCAAAGCACCUAAUUCUCUGGGGUUCAAUUUCCCCCGUCUGUCAAAUGAAAACAGUACUCUAGGGCCAUGGUUCUCAACGUGUGUUGCCUGGGCUGGCAGCAUUAGCCGUCACCAGGGAGCUUGUUGGAGAUGCAAAUUCUCGAGCCCUCCCUGAAUGGACUAAUUCUGGGACUCUGGGAGUGGGAUCCAGUAAUCUGUGUUUCACAAGCCCUCCUGAGCCCCGGUUUUGUGGCUACAGCACAGCACGAGGCAGAGGAACGGAGACAGGUCCUCGGAAGCCUCUUUCCAGAAAAUCUAAUUUCAUCAUUGAGAAAUCUUCUGUCUUAAACAGCCUCCACCACCGCCAUAAAUUUACAUAUUCUAUAUGCCGCCGGAACGGAGUGGGCCCUAUUUGCAUAAUGCUGCUGGAGGGGCUCACGCUCCUCUUGAACCUGAAUGUAGCAGGAGCGAGGAAGCAAUUAUUAAGCUGUAGACGUUGGCAGGGAGAGAGCCCUCAGAUGGAUUUCGACUCCAAACCUCAUUCGCCAGGGCUGCUCAUUACCGAAGGCCUGGAUCCCAGGCUGAAGGUGGAUCCCAGGGCUGGGAAAAAUCAGUGUGAAUUGCUUUCUCCAGGUUAUGUCUGCAGCCAGGCCGAGGCCAGAUAUGGAUUGCAUUAAGGAUCAGCCAUGUUUCAAGAGCUGCUGGCUACCCUCCCAGCAUGCCUCUGAUGAAGUUGCAACCUCUGAGGGCAAUUCCUGGUGACAGUAACAAGCAGUGCAAGGUACCAACCAGCAGGACAGCACAAAGUAAAGGAAACAGUUGCAUCAUAUGAAAACACAAAAGCUCACCUAAUUAAGAACCAGCAGUGUUGUAAUUGUUUGUUUGACAGUAACUCCUAAACCUGAACAGGUGCCAACACCAUAACCCAGAGAUCCCACAUUAGGUACACACCUGACAAAAAUGACUGCAUAUGUGCACUGAAAGACAUGUGUGAGAAUGUUCUGGGUGCAUUCCUCUAAUCCCUGAAACUGAGAACUACCCAAAUGUCCAUCAGCAGUUAAGUGGAUACAUUGUGCCAUAUUCCCAGAAAGGUGUACCAUAUCACAGGCUUGGCAAAUCCAGCCGGUGGCCAAAUCCAGCCACCUCCUGUUUUGUAAAUAAAGCUUUAUCAGAC